GAUGAACGCUGGCGGCGUGCCUAAUACAUGCAAGUCGAGCGGACAGACGAGGAGCUUGAUCCUCUGACGUUAGCGGCGGACGUGUGUGUAACACGUGGAUAACCUACCUAUCAGACUGGGAUAACUUCGGGAAACCGGUUCUAAUUCCAUAUCAUAUAUUGAAGCGCAUUGUUCAAUAUUGAACCGCAGUUUUUCUGUCACUUAUAUAUGGAUCCGCGCCUCAUUAGCUAGUUGGUAAGGUAACGGUUUAGCAAUGCAACGAUGCGUAGCAGACCUGAGAGGGUGAUCAGGCACACCGGAACUGAGACACGGACAAGACCCAGACGGGAGGCAGAAGUAGGGGAAGGGAAGAUAGGAGAAUAGGUGUGAGGGAGAAACGGCGCGGCAGUGAGGAAGAUCAACGGAUCGUAAAACGUUGUCAGUAGUGAAGAAUAAAUAUGAAAGUAGCGAGGCACGAAUUGAAGGUACCAAAUGAGUAAGCCACGGCUAACUACGUG
This 497-nucleotide ribosomal RNA is filed under the name uncultured bacterium. Its description in RNAcentral is "partial 16S ribosomal RNA". It matches the Rfam family "Bacterial small subunit ribosomal RNA", at positions 28 to 507 of the family's 1533-position model. The record is from RNAcentral.